CGACACGGUGACGUGGGGCGGAUCCCUGAAAACCGGUCUCAGUUCGGAUCGCAGUCUGCAACUCGACUGCGUGAAGGUGGAGUCGCUAGUAAUCGCGGAUCAGCAACGCCGCGGUGAAUGCGUUCCCGGGCCUUGUACACACCGCCCGUCAAGUCAUGAAAGUGGGCAGCACCCGAAGACGGUGGCCUAACCCUUGUGGGGGGAGCCGUCUAAGGUGAGGCUCGUGAUUGGGACUAAGUCGUAACAAGGUAUC
RNAcentral lists this ribosomal RNA (253 nucleotides) under uncultured bacterium. Its description in RNAcentral is "partial 16S ribosomal RNA". It matches the Rfam family "Bacterial small subunit ribosomal RNA", at positions 1250 to 1500 of the family's 1533-position model. The record is from RNAcentral.